AUGGCGUUGGGGGACCCAUCCUUUGUCGCGUUGCGGGGUCUUCGGCCGGAACUUCACAGCGGCCCUGGACGACAUGAUUCGUUGGCGGAGAUGGGCACCGAGGCAGCGGCCCCGGAUUUCUUCGGCGGCCUCGACUGCCGCUGUGGUCGCGAGCGCGGCAUGACGACUGGUUCGGGUGCUCAGUGCGGCUCGGCUACUCAUAUCCGCGUGGUGCGGGUGGUGGCGGUGGUGCCCACCAAGAUCUCCGGCCUACUGUUGGGAGCCGGCGGGUGGCGCGCUCCUUGGGUUCUUUUUGCUCUCAGAUGGUGUUCUGCCGGUUGCUGGCCCCCAUGGAUCUGGCCGUUGACGAAUUGCUGGAUCGGAUGGGAUUCGGUCGUGUGCGCCCCUAUUUCAGUCCGAGCUUCAGGAGGGUGUGACAUAAAGCUUCGUUUGGCAUUGGCAAGUGGGGGCGGCAGCACAGGCGGAGUACAGAGUCUUAGCUUUCAGCGUGAAAACCCAAGAGCGCAGAUGACGGUGCUUGUGCACUGUUUCCUUUUUGGAGGCGUCACUUUUGGAGUAUUUGGACUUCGGAUGAAUGCGUGCAGCCCCUACCCUGCCUGCGUCGAUCAAGGUGGCUUCUUUGAGCUACCUCUCUAUAACCACACAACCACAGAAGAGCUCAUGUGCUCAUCACGCAUGUGUGGAACGAUUUUCAAAUCCAUUGGGCAGCUCUGGCGCCUAAUCUCAGCAAACAAAUCCACCACAAAUCGAAGAGCUAUCCUGGUGCGGAGCAAGAUUGUGAUUAGGAGGAUUGAGAACAUGAGCAGCAGGCAGGUCACCUCCUCCAAGCGGCGUCGUAGCCUGCUGAAGAAAGCACGUGAGCUGGCCAUCCUCUGCGAUGUCCAGGUCGGCGUCAUCGUCUUCUCUUCCACUGGUUGCCUCUACGAAUAUGCCAAUCCACCGCCACCAUCACCAUGGGCAUGGCCAUGCCUUCCAUCAUUCAAAACUACCAAUCUGCACAAGAGCACCAUUAGCUGUUAA
RNAcentral lists this ribosomal RNA (1020 nucleotides) under Triticum aestivum (bread wheat). Its description in RNAcentral is "partial small subunit ribosomal RNA". The record is from RNAcentral. Lineage: Eukaryota; Viridiplantae; Streptophyta; Magnoliopsida; Poales; Poaceae.